RNAcentral lists this long non-coding RNA (995 nucleotides) under Gouania willdenowi (blunt-snouted clingfish). Its description in RNAcentral is "lncRNA (ENSGWIG00000014101.1)". The record is from RNAcentral. Lineage: Eukaryota; Metazoa; Chordata; Actinopteri; Blenniiformes; Gobiesocidae.
AUUAUUAUUUAUGUUUUCUUUUUUUCAGAUGGAUUCCCUUUUUAAACUGCUUGAGAAGCACAGACUGGAGGCUUUCUAUAAAAAGUUAUUAGAGUUUGGUGUUAAAGAUGAAAAAGACCUCCUAGACAGCAUAACGGAUGAAAACCUCACUGACCUUGGAUUUAGUCAAGCUGAACGCAAUCGCUUUGCCUCCAUGCAAACCACUAUUAGGAGGUUCAGAGCUCCGGUUGAAACAACUGCAAUGCCAGUCCAAAAAAGUAUGAAGUCAUUUUCACUGAAGUACACAUACCCAAAAUGUCCUGAUCCAAAAUGCAUCUCAGAUAUGGAUCCAGCCCAAAAUACAGUUGAAGAUUUGAUGUUAAGGAUCUGUCACCUUGAGCAUGUUGGUAAAGCCUCAGGUGUCUGUCUGUACACAGUGGAUGGAAUGCCUCUGACAGACGAUCCCUUUUUCAACACAUGGUCUUUACAAGACAGACACAUUAAAGAUGGAGAUGUAAUCUAUGCCAUAUUUACACCAAAGAAGAACUUGGAAAUACUUCCUCCAAACAUAGUGCAAGCAGUAAUUGAAACGCAUGGAGAUGACACAGUUCGCUGUCAUGUGAUGCUUAAGGGAGACUUUGAGGUGACAGUGAACCUGGUUAGUGACACGUUAAAAAUUCUGAGAAACAAACUUUCAAAUGAAAGUGGAAUCCCAGCUCACGUUCUUCACUACAGGGGAGAUGCUGGAGUUGGUGUCACUUUAGCAAGCUGUGGAAUCUCAGCUGAUUCAACUGUUUUCUUCUCAUUGUCCUCAUUUCCUGAGGAAGUAAUUCCUUCCAAAGAAGUGUUUAUGGAUGAUGUUCAGCCCUCAGUCCAACAAACCCCAAAGGGAAUCAGCUGUUUCCUGUCAUCUCUCUGUGUCAUCGUAAGUCUUCUAUUGUUUGUUCAUUUUGUGCAUACUCGCAUACAUGUGCAUUAAUUAUUUAGUUUUUUGUUUAUGAAUUACUUUCAACACA